RNAcentral lists this ribosomal RNA (399 nucleotides) under uncultured bacterium. Its description in RNAcentral is "bacterial SSU rRNA". It matches the Rfam family "Bacterial small subunit ribosomal RNA", at positions 8 to 437 of the family's 1533-position model. The record is from RNAcentral.
AGAGUUUGAUCCUGGCUCAGAACGAACGCUGGCGGCAGGCCUAACACAUGCAAGUCGAACGCUCCGCAAGGAGAGUGGCAGACGGGUGAGUAACACGUGGGAACAUACCCUCCGGUUCGGAAUAACUCAGGGAAACUUGUGCUAAUACCGGAUACGUCGGCGACGAGAAAGAUUUAUCGCCGGAGGAUUGGCCCGCGUCUGAUUAGCUAGUUGGUGAGGUAAUGGCUCACCAAGGCGACGAUCAGUAGCUGGUCUGAGAGGAUGAUCAGCCACAUUGGGACUGAGACACGGCCCAAACUCCUACGGGAGGCAGCAGUGGGGAAUAUUGGACAAUGGGCGCAAGCCUGAUCCAGCCAUGCCGCGUGAGUGAUGAAGGCCCUAGGGUUGUAAAGCUCUUUA